RNAcentral lists this ribosomal RNA (253 nucleotides) under uncultured bacterium. RNAcentral describes it as "partial 16S ribosomal RNA". It matches the Rfam family "Bacterial small subunit ribosomal RNA", at positions 524 to 776 of the family's 1533-position model. The record is from RNAcentral.
UACGUAGGGUGCAAGCGUUAAUCGGAAUUACUGGGCGUAAAGCGUGCGCAGGCGGUUAUGCAAGACAGAUGUGAAAUCCCCGGGCUCAACCUGGGAACUGCAUUUGUGACUGCAUGGCUGGAGUGCGGCAGAGGGGGAUAGAAUUCCGCGUGUAGCAGUGAAAUGCGUAGAUAUGCGGAGGAACACCGAUGGCGAAGGCAAUCCCCUGGGCCUGCACUGACGCUCAUGCACGAAAGCGUGGGGAGCAAACAGG